RNAcentral lists this ribosomal RNA (583 nucleotides) under Rhodotorula sp. RNAcentral describes it as "eukaryotic LSU rRNA". It matches the Rfam family "Eukaryotic large subunit ribosomal RNA", at positions 62 to 657 of the family's 3401-position model. Lineage: Eukaryota; Fungi; Basidiomycota; Microbotryomycetes; Sporidiobolales; Sporidiobolaceae. The record is from RNAcentral.
AAACUAACAAGGAUUCCCCUAGUAGCGGCGAGCGAAGCGGGAAGAGCUCAAAUUUAUAAUCUGGCACUUUCAGUGUCCGAGUUGUAAUCUCUAGAAGUGUUUUCCGCGUUGGACCGCACACAAGUCUGUUGGAAUACAGCGGCACAGUGGUGACACCCCCGUACACGGUGCGGACGCCCAGCGCUUUGUGAUACACUUUCGAAGAGUCGAGUUGUUUGGGAAUGCAGCUCAAAUUGGGUGGUAAAUUCCAUCUAAAGCUAAAUAUUGGCGAGAGACCGAUAGCGAACAAGUACCGUGAGGGAAAGAUGAAAAGCACUUUGGAAAGAGAGUUAACAGUACGUGAAAUUGUUGGAAGGGAAACGCUUGAAGUCAGACUUGCUUGCCGGAGCUUGCUUCGGUUUGCAGGCCAGCAUCAGUUUUCCGGGGUGGAUAAUGGCGGUUAGAAGGUAGCAGCUUCAGCUGUGUUAUAGCUUUCCGCUGGAUACAUCCUGGGGGACUGAGGAACGCAGCGUGCUUUUAGCGGGGGUUUCGACCUCUUCACGCUUAGGAUGCUGGUGUAAUGGCUUUAAACGACCCGUCUUGA